RNAcentral lists this ribosomal RNA (253 nucleotides) under uncultured bacterium. RNAcentral describes it as "partial 16S ribosomal RNA". It matches the Rfam family "Archaeal small subunit ribosomal RNA", at positions 474 to 727 of the family's 1478-position model. The record is from RNAcentral.
UACCUGCAGCCCGAGUGGUGGCUGUUAUUAUUGGGCCUAAAACGUCCGUAGCCGGCUGAGUAGAUGCCUGUGUAAAUCGAACGGCUUAACCGUUCGAACUGCGGGUAGACCGCUCAGCUUGGGACCGGGAGAGUCACGAAGUACUCCGGGGGUAGAGGUGAAAUUCUGUAAUCCUCGGGGGACUACCGGUGGCGAAGGCGUCGUGAUAGAACGGCUCCGACGGUGAGGGACGAAGCCCUGGGGCGCAAACCGG